GUCCCUGUAGCUCAAAGGAAAGAGCGCGUCCCUCCUAAGGACGAGAUGGGGGUUCAAUUCCUCCCAGGGACA
This 72-nucleotide transfer RNA is filed under the name Candidatus Parcubacteria bacterium. RNAcentral describes it as "tRNA-Arg". It matches the Rfam family "tRNA". From Rfam's summary of the family: Transfer RNA (tRNA) molecules are approximately 80 nucleotides in length. Their secondary structure includes four short double-helical elements and three loops (D, anti-codon, and T loops). The record is from RNAcentral. Lineage: Bacteria; Candidatus Parcubacteria.